GUGGACACCAUCGGGUGACACCGUUGGGUGACACCAUUGGUUGACACCAUCAGUUGACACCAUUGGUUGACGCCAUCGGGUGACACCAUUGGGUGACACCAUCAGUUGACACCAUGGGGUUGACACCAUCGGGUGACACCAUCGGGUGACACCAUCGGUUGACACCAUUGGGUGACACCAUCAGUUGACAGCAUUGGGUGACACCAUCAGUAGACACCAUUGGGUGACACCAUCGGGUGACAGCAUUGGUUGACAGCAUUGGGUGACACCAUUGGUUGACAGCAUCGGGUGACACUGUUGGGUGACACCAUUGGUUGACACUAUCGAGUGACACCAUCGGGUGACACCAUCGGUUGACACUAUUGGUUGACAGCAUCGGGUGACACCAUUGAUUGACAGCAUUGGGUGACGCCAUCAGUUGACACCCAUCGGUUGACACCGACGCUGACCCCCCUCACAGGUUGCAGUGUUGGUGAUUCUGGCGGUGAUUCUGGCGGUGAUUCUGGCGUUGUUUGUGGCGGCGGUGAUUCCCGCGGUCCGGGUGUUGCCGGUUCGGGUGUUGCGGGUGCGGGUGACGCCAUGGCGGCGGUGCGGGCGCAGCUGGAGGCGCUGGUGGAGGCGGCGGACGCGCUGGUGGCCCACGGGCAGCACGGGGUCUACGGGGACAGCAGGGAGAGGCUGCAGCUCCGACUCAACGCCCUGCGGGGGGCGGCCGCCAACAGCAGCACAUCACUGCGGCGCCGCGACGGUGACGACGAUGACGGUGGUGACGGUGGGGGUGACGACAGUGGUGCCAUCCGUGCACAAGCGGAGCCGAUUGACAUGUUUGCCGAGGAGGAGGACAACAAACAGGCGCUGGAGGACCGAGCGGUGUUGGAGGACCGAGCGCCGGAGGACAAACAGGCGCUGGAGGACCGAGCGCUGGAGGACCGAGUGGCCCUGGAGGACCGAAAGCUGGAGGACCAACAGGCGGUGGAGGACCGAGCGGUGUUGGAGGACCAGGCGGAGGAAGUGAUGUGGGAGUACAAAUGGGAGGAGAGCGCCCAACUCUACGGCCCCUUCAGCAGCGCACAGAUGCAGGUGGGAACCCCAAAAAUGGGGCUGGGACCCCAAAAAAUGGGCCUGGGACCCCAAAAAUUGGGCUGGGACCCCAAAAAAUGGGCCUGGGACCCCAAAAAUAGUGCUAGGAACCACAAAAAUUGGGGCUGGGAACUCCAAAUUUGGGGCUGGGACCCCAGAAAUGGGGACGGGAACCCCAAAAAUGGGGCUGGGAAUCCCAAAAAAUGGUUCUGGGACCCCAAAAAUGGGGCUGGGAAUCCCAAAAAUGAGGCAGGGAAACCCGAAUUUGGGUCCCCAUUUUUGGGUUCAAUUCCACCAAUUUUGGUCUCAGAUCCCCCAAUUUUAGGUUCGGAUCCCCCAUUUUUGGGUUCAGAUCCCCAUUUUUGGGCUCAGAUCCUCCAAUUUUGGGUUCAAAUCCCCCAUUUUUGGUCCCAGAUCCCCAUUUUUAAUUUUGGUCUCAUUUCCCCAAUUUUGGUCUCAUUUCCCCCAAUUUUGGGUUCAAAUCCCCCAAUUUUGGGUUCAGAUCCCCCAAUUUUGGGCUCAUUUCCCCCAUUUUUGGUCUCAGAUCCCCCAAUUUUGGGCUCAGAUUCUUGAGUUUUGGGUUUAAUUCCCCCAAUUUUGGGCUCUGGUCCCCCAUUUUUGGGCUCAGAUCUCCCAAUUUUGGGCUCAAUUCCCCCAUUUUUGGGUUCAGAUCCCCCAAUUUUAGGUUCAAAUCCCCAUUUUUGGGUUCAAAUCCCCAAUUUUUGGUCUCAGAUCCCCAUUUUUGGUCUCAGAUCCCCAAUUUUGGGCUCAAUUCCCCCAUUUUUGGGUUCAGAUCCCCCAAUUUUGGUCUCAUUUCCCCCAAUUUUGGGCUCAAUUCCCCCAAUUUUGGGUUCAAUUCCCCAAUUUUGGGUUCAAUUCCCCCAAUUUUGGUCUCAGAUCCCCAAUUUUGGGUUCAAUUCCCCCAAUUUUGGUCCCAGAUCCCCAAUUUUGGGCUCAAAUCCCCCAAUUUUGGUCUCAGAUCCUCAAUUUUGGGUUCAAUUCCCCCAAUUUUGGUCUCAUUUCCCCAAUUUUGGGCUCAUUUCCCCAAUUUUGGGCUCAGAUCCCCCAUUUUUGGGGUCAAUUCCC
Long non-coding RNA from Chrysolophus pictus (golden pheasant), 2166 nucleotides. The record is from Ensembl. Lineage: Eukaryota; Metazoa; Chordata; Aves; Galliformes; Phasianidae.